UACAGGGGGCUCAGUGGCAGAGCACUUGCCUAGCACGUGUGAGGCCCUGGGUUCGAUCCUCAGCACCACAUGUAA
Molecule: transfer RNA, 75 nt
Filed under: Marmota monax (woodchuck)
Lineage: Eukaryota; Metazoa; Chordata; Mammalia; Rodentia; Sciuridae
Description: tRNA.Ala
Source: RNAcentral